AACGCGAAGAACCUUACCUGGUCUUGACAUGUCAGGAACCCUAUAGAGAUAUGGGGGUGCCUUCGGGAACCUGAACACAGGUGCUGCAUGGCUGUCGUCAGCUCGUGUCGUGAGAUGUUGGGUUAAGUCCCGCAACGAGCGCAACCCUUGUGAACUGUUGCUACCCAGCACUUCGGUGUUGGGGCACUCUGUUCAGACUGCCCUGUGAAACGGGGAGGAAGGUGGGGACGACGUCAAGUCAGGAUGGCCCUUACGCCCAGGGCUGCACACGUACUACAAUGCUCAGUACAGAACGAACCGAAAUCGCGAGGUGGAGGAAAUCACUAAAACUGAGCCCAGUUCGGAUUGUAGGCUGCAACUCGCCUACAUGAAGCCGGAAUCGCUAGUAAUGGCGUAUCAGCUACGACGCCGUGAAUACGUUCCCGGGCCUUGUACACACCGCGUGUCU
This 448-nucleotide ribosomal RNA is filed under the name uncultured bacterium. RNAcentral's name for it is "bacterial SSU rRNA". It matches the Rfam family "Bacterial small subunit ribosomal RNA", at positions 958 to 1399 of the family's 1533-position model. The record is from RNAcentral.